RNAcentral lists this ribosomal RNA (502 nucleotides) under uncultured bacterium. RNAcentral's name for it is "partial 16S ribosomal RNA". It matches the Rfam family "Bacterial small subunit ribosomal RNA", at positions 29 to 523 of the family's 1533-position model. The record is from RNAcentral.
AUUGAACGCUGGCGGAAUGCUUUACACAUGCAAGUCGAACGGCAGCACGGGAGCUUGCUCCUGGUGGCGAGUGGCGAACGGGUGAGUAAUGCAUCGGAACGUGCCCAUUUGUGGGGGAUAACUAGUCGAAAGACUAGCUAAUACCGCAUAAGCUGGAGAGAGGAAAGCGGGGGAUCGUAAGAACUCGCGCAGAUGGAGCGGCCGGUGUCCGAUUAGAUAGUUGGUGAGGUAAAGGCCCACCAAGGCGACGAUCGGUAGCUGGUCUGAGAGGACGACCAGCCACACUGGGACUGAGACACGGCCCAGACUCCUACGGGAGGCAGCAGUGGGGAAUUUUGGACAAUGGGGGCAACCCUGAUCCAGCCAUUCCGCGUGUGGGAAGAAGGCCUUCGGGUUGUAAACCACUUUCGGACGGGAAGAAAUCGACGUGACGAAUAAUCGUGUCGGAUGACGGUACCGUAAGAAGAAGCACCGGCUAACUACGUGCCAGCCGCCGCAGUAA